UUGAGAAAAUACUAUUUAAAGAAUGGUUCUGAGUGAUUUGAAAUCUGAGAAAAUGGAAUUUGGUUUGUAUGUGGAUUGCUAAAUCUGAAGAAAACCAGCCGUAUAUAUGCUACUAAGCAUGUUUGUAUAUCCUUAACAAUUUAGCAAUCAAUUCUGUCUUUUUUGCGUAUAUCAAAGUUCAACUGCCUUCUUUGCUUAUUAUCAUCGCCCACUCACUUUAGAAACUUGGUUUUUUUUUUCCCCUGAAAAGAGAUGCCAAGCACGAC
This 266-nucleotide long non-coding RNA is filed under the name Glycine max (soybean). RNAcentral describes it as "long non-coding RNA (GMAX_LNC001775)". Lineage: Eukaryota; Viridiplantae; Streptophyta; Magnoliopsida; Fabales; Fabaceae. The record is from RNAcentral.